ACAUUCUUCAAAGUGGCUGCGAAAUGUUUUCUCUGCUGUUAAAAAAGAAAUACAUUUUUUUCGUGUUGUUUUUUAAUAUUCAUAUCACAGCCAGCUUUGAGGAGCGUCA
Molecule: microRNA precursor, 109 nt
Filed under: Musca domestica (house fly)
Lineage: Eukaryota; Metazoa; Arthropoda; Insecta; Diptera; Muscidae
Description: mir-2 microRNA precursor family
Rfam family: mir-2 microRNA precursor family
About the family: The miRNAs are transcribed as ~70nt precursors (modelled here) and subsequently processed by the Dicer enzyme to give a ~22nt product. In this case the mature sequence comes from the 3' arm of the precursor. The extents of the hairpin precursors are not generally known and are estimated based on hairpin prediction.
Source: Rfam by way of RNAcentral